AUGAACGCUGGCGGCGUGCCUAAUACAUGCAAGUCGAGCGAACAGACGAGGAGCUUGCUCCUCUGACGUUAGCGGCGGACGGGUGAGUAACACGUGGAUAACCUACCUAUAAGACUGGGAUAACUUCGGGAAACCGGAGCUAAUACCGGAUAAUAUAUUGAACCGCAUGGUUCAAUAGUGAAAGACGGUUUUGCUGUCACUUAUAGAUGGAUCCGCGCCGCAUUAGCUAGUUGGUAAGGUAACGGCUUACCAAGGCGACGAUGCGUAGCCGACCUGAGAGGGUGAUCGGCCACACUGGAACUGAGACACGGUCCGGACUCCUACGGGAGGCAGCAGUAGGGAAUCUUCCGCAAUGGGCGAAAGCCUGACGGAGCAACGCCGCGUGAGUGAUGAAGGUCUUCGGAUCGUAAAACUCUGUUAUUAGGGAAGAACAAAUGUGUAAGUAACUAUGCACGUCUUGACGGUACCUAAUCAGAAAGCCACGGCUAACUACGUG
This 496-nucleotide ribosomal RNA is filed under the name uncultured bacterium. Its description in RNAcentral is "partial 16S ribosomal RNA". It matches the Rfam family "Bacterial small subunit ribosomal RNA", at positions 29 to 507 of the family's 1533-position model. The record is from RNAcentral.